This is a long non-coding RNA of Sardina pilchardus (European sardine), 1045 nucleotides long. RefSeq lists it as uncharacterized. NCBI's taxonomy places the organism in Eukaryota, Metazoa, Chordata, Actinopteri, Clupeiformes, Clupeidae. The transcript has 3 exons. The record is from RefSeq and is a predicted model, not a curated record.
GGUCAUAAUCCGAGAUAAGGUUUAUUUCUCCCGUUUGCCUCCCGUUUGCCUCCUAAAUGGGAGUGGCACUACGUCACAGGGUAACCGGAAUUGACCCUCAUAUGACUUGUCUCGCUUUAUAAACCGUCUCUGCCAACACCACCACCACCACUUUCUGUGCAUAAAGCUGAAAGUAAAGGCUGAGUUUUUCUUCCAUAUCUGUUUUCUCCGAAAUACCCUACCUUCGACUUAUGAGUGGUUAGUAAUAUAGGACUAUCAUUUAGGCUACUGCUUUUGUAAAGGAGGUGAGUCCACUACUAAUUUUUAUUUGCCAUACACAGUACAUUAUGCAACAGAAUGCUCACCACCUCGUGGUAAAUACUCGCUUUCAUUGACUGUAGUGUGAUAUAUUGUAAUGUUUUUUUUAUUAAUUUUCAACAAUGUUAGGAAGCCCCACACAUGGCAGGGCAUCAAAAAAUUUGUUAAAACUCAUAAUGGUCCUCUCCACGGAAAUCUUUAGUAAAAGGCGAAAGAUUUAUACGAUCUGAAGAGAACCCAGAGUGUACUGACCUUUGAACCUUUCUGUUCCAGUAUUAUAGAACGGAGCCUACAAUUCACAGUCAGGGUUGCAAAAUGAUAUAAAUUAAAUAUCAUAGAACGGAGCCUACAAUUCGCAGUCAGGGUUGCAAAAUUAUAUAAAUUAAUUGGGAGAAAUCUGCGGUGCAUGCUGGGAAAUCUCUACCCUCCCCCUACCCCCCAUCCCAACACCACCACGACCACUUUCUGUGCGUAGCGCUGAAAGUGAAGGCUGAGUUUAUCUUCCAUAUCUGUGGGGUGAGUCCACUACUAAUUUACUUUUGGCAUAUAUGUGUUUACAAAACACAUAGCAUUGAAUUAACUAAUUGAAGAUCAAUUAAUGUCAUUAAUGCAAUCGUUUAAAACAUUAGACCUGACUGUUAUGAAUUUGGUGUAUAGUUGUAACAAGCCGCUUAUAAACUUGGACAAGGAACAGUGAUAAGGAUAAAAGCUCCAAAUCAACUUGAUACAAGUUGUAAAGUAAAGUAAA